GGUUUCAGGGUUAGAUCUUGAAACUUUUUCAAGAUCAUACAGCGGAAGACUAAAAUAAAUCAAAAUUUAUUUUUUAAAACCAGAGAAUCUCUAGAUCUAAAAUCCUAUUACAUGAUUAUUACAUAACAUUAAAUCAGAAAUUAAAAUAUAUAAAUAUAGCAUGAACUACAUGUUGAUCAUAUCAACAUGUUUCUAUACCACAUCUAAUGUAUGUAUUAAACAAU
This 224-nucleotide long non-coding RNA is filed under the name Elaeis guineensis (African oil palm). RNAcentral describes it as "long non-coding RNA (EGUI_LNC004987)". The record is from RNAcentral. Lineage: Eukaryota; Viridiplantae; Streptophyta; Magnoliopsida; Arecales; Arecaceae.